ACCUUCCUUGUCUCGGGGUGAGAGAGCUACUCAAUGAACGUAUAGUGAGGGUAGCCCUGCUAACACCAUAACGACACAUAAGCAUCACCUGAGCUUGCUCAGAUCAUGGUGCAAUUUUUGGAACC
Molecule: small nuclear RNA, 125 nt
Organism: Esox lucius (northern pike)
Lineage: Eukaryota; Metazoa; Chordata; Actinopteri; Esociformes; Esocidae
Product: U4atac minor spliceosomal RNA
Source: Ensembl